Setaria italica (foxtail millet) is the source of this 5297-nucleotide RNA transcript. RefSeq lists it as uncharacterized. The record is from RefSeq and is a predicted model, not a curated record. The transcript is spliced from 2 exons. Lineage: Eukaryota; Viridiplantae; Streptophyta; Magnoliopsida; Poales; Poaceae.
AGAGUUUCUUGCACCAGGCACCAAUUCGUGAUUAUCCUCAGCUUCCUGCUCCUGCAAUGCACUUCCUGGCGACAGAACCAACUUGUGCAUAAGAACACUUGCCAUGACCUGGCGGCAGCUCAGGAAGAAGGCACGCCGUGCUCUGAAGAACGUUGAUGAGGAGUAAAGAGAGGGCAGCGAGAAGUCUUCAUCCGGCUCAACUGGCCUACGAUGAGUCCAGCCCAAGUGGCAUGUAUGUGUGCGUGUGGUCGAGCGUGGCCUGUAUAAAGGCAGAAGCCUAACUCUGAAACAUCAACGAUGAACUAAUGCUCUGAACUGAAUAUCUAAACCGUGUUCUUCCCCAUGGUUCCUCCUAUGCUGCUUCCAAAUCCCCAAAUCCCCUUGCUAAUCCUACCAAAUCCUCUUCUCGUUGAGCAAGUUCAUCACAAUUGGUAUCCAAAGCCACUUAACCCCAAUUUUUUCCCCAAAUAGUUUGAGUUCUUCAUCCUACCACCCGUGCGCAAGCCGAUGAAGGUUGAAAUUCAGAUGGCGAAUUCGCUAAAGGAUCUCGCGAAGAAGUUCGAGGGGUUCAAUUUGGUGAUGCAGCAGAUCCUUGACAAGGUCAUUGGACUUGAGUCAUGGAAGACGACGGCGGACAAAUCGAUGGGUACGUUGCUAUCCAAGGCGGACGACACGGCGUCAUGCCUGCACCGACUUGAGACCGCACCACCACCACCACAGCAGCCACUACUGCAACCACCGCUACCGCCACCAUCGUGGGUGAAUCCCAUCGACCUCAACCUUGCUCCACCAUCGGCGUCACGCCCACCUGCGGCGACCUUGGAGCGGCCCAGCGGGCACCGCAUCGAUAACAGCCACCGGGAUGUUGGCGGUGGGAUCCUUGGAUCUCCCCCGCCACGUCCAGUCACGGGUAUGUCACACACUCUCCCUCCUCGACCACCCGAUCCUUCUUGCGAUGCUAGACAGAGUCCUAUUCAUUUUGCUCAUGUACCCAAACUAGAAUUCCCCAAGUUUAAUGGUGAGAAUCCCAGGUUCUGGAAGGAUAGGUGCGAGCUAUACUUUGAUGUGUGCAGUGUUAGUGAUGCCUUGAAACCCCACUUUGUUGCUCUCAAUUUUGAUGGGCCAACAGCUGCUUGGCUUCAAACAUUCAAGGUCAGAGGCCGUGUUCAGAGUUAGGAGGCUCUCCACACUGUGGUUUGUGAUCGGUUCGAUCACGACCAGUACCAGCUUCAAAGGAAACAUUUAGAUAACCUGAAACAAAUUGGGUCGGUAGAAGAAUACCAUGCAAAAUUUGAGUAGUUAGCCCAUAACAUUCUGCUAUACAAUAGUGCUUAUGAUGAUGUCUAUUCUGUUACUCGUUUCCUUGGUGGUCUUAAAGAAGAAAUUAGAGCCCCGAUUGCUUUACAUCGACCCAAAAACUUGGAUACUGCUAGUGCCUUGGCAUUAUUGCAGGAAGAAGAAGUGGAAAUGUCUCGUCAGAAGCACUAAUUCAAAACUAAGAAUAAGGAGUUUGGCAAAUCUGGUAGCAGGGGUUUCACUACCAGUGACAAAGCCAAAUCUCCUUACAAGAAAGAAGAUGUGAAGAAAGGAGAUAGAGCACCAACCCAAGAAAAGUGGGCAGCGAUCAAGGCUUCCAGAAAGGCUAAUGACUUGUGCUAUACCUGUGGAGAGAAAUGGACUGGGCGAAAUCACAAAUGCCCUGAUCAGGUUCCCAUUCAUAUGAUUCAAGAGCUUAUGGAAAUGUUUCAGUUGGAUGACUGCUCGGAUGGUGAGGAGGAUAGCUCUAACCAAACUGAUGAAGUUAUCAUGACUGUGAAAGAAGAUCAACCUGAUCAGGCAAAGCAAAAAAGAGAAGAAAAAUUUGAUUUAAAGGCUUCAUUGGCAAGCAAGAAAUUCUUAUUUUGCUCGAUUCAGGAAGCGUGGGAACAUUUGUUAGUGACAAGCUGGUCUCCUCUCUUGCACUGCAAAGCAAAUCUUGUGAACAACUCCAGUUCAUCACUGCCGAUGGUAGUCCAAUGAACUCUGACAAGUUCAUUCGAAACAUGCAGUUGUUCAUUCAGGGGCAUACAUUCUCUUAUGAUGCCAGAGUACUACCACUCAAGUGUUUUGACAUGAUCAUCGGUGCAAAUUGGUUGAAGGACCACAACCCCACUUGGACCCAUUGGAAGAAGAAAAUCAUGAGGUUUCCUCAUUCAGCAGACAAAUUCAGUUGAAGGGAAUCAGGAACACAAAGCUGCCUUGCACUAACAUUAUCCCUAGAAAGCUUAAGGGACUGUUAAGAAGAAAAGUAGUAACAAAUUGUGUCCUAGUGAAUGCAAUGUGCCCAUCAGCUACUCCAUAAGUUACAACGACUGCAGUUGCCCAACAAUCUGCUAUUGCACCAGCGGAGCCCCUAUUCACUCUCUCUGACAAUACAAUGGUUCCUCCUCCUGUUCAAGAUCUAUUGAUUAAAUAUGAGUUCUUAUUCAAGGAGCCUACGGAUCUACCUCCAACAAGAGAUUGUGAUCAUUCUAUACCUUUUCUGCCGGGUGCUCAGCCAGUAAAUGUUAGACCUUACAGAUACUCCCCUCAACAGAAAAAUGAAAUUGAACAACAGAUUAGUUCAAUGUUGAAAUCUGGAGUAAUAUCUCAUAGUAGUAGCCUUUUUGCCUCACCUAUGCUUUUGGUGAAAAAGAAGGAUGGUUCUUGGAGAUUCUGUAUUGACUAUAGACACCUCAAUGCUCUCACAGUGAAGAAUAAACAUCCCCUACCAGUUUUGGAUGAGCUUCUAGAUGAACUAUCUGGAGCCAAGUGGUUUACAAAAUUGACUUCAGAUCGGGUUAUCAUCAAAUCGGGGUGUCCCCAGGGGAAGAGUUCAAAAUGGCAUUUAAAACACAUAGUGGUGCAUAUGAAUUCAGAGUAAUGCCUUUUGGGCUUACCAAUGCUCCUGCAACUUUUCAAGGUGAUAUGAAUAAAAUUUUUGCCCCUCUACUCAGGAAACAUGUUCUGGUUUUCAUGGAUGACAUAUUAGUGUAUAGUUCAUCUCUAGAAGAGCAUGUCCAACACCUAGACCAAGUUCUGCAAAUUAUUCAAGAACAUCAAUUUUGCAUUAAGAAAUCAAAGUGUGUGUUUACUCAACAACAACUUGAAUAUUUAGGCCAUCUGAUUUCUGCUGAUGGUGUAUCAACUGAACCAUCAAAGAUACAAGCUGUCACCUAUUGGCCAGUUCCCAAAUCAAUCAAAUAACUAAAGAGGAUUCUUGGGGUUAACAGGUUAUUACAGAUGAUUCAUUAAGCACUACAACAUGUCAAGUAAACCUCUAACCAACAUGUUGAAGAAAGGGGUUCAUUUUCGGUGGACCAGUUUGGCUCAAAAUGCUUUUGAACUUCUGAAGCAAGCCUUAGUUCAAGCUCUGGUGUUGGCCAUUCCAAACUUCAACAAGCAGUUCAUAGUUGAAAUAGGUGCAAGUCAAUUAGGAAUUGGAGCUGUUGUAAUGCAAGAUUGCCACCCAAUUUCUUAUUUGAGCCAAACACUAUGUGAUAAAAACAAAGGUUCUCCACUUAUAAAAAAAGAUGCAUGGCAGUCCUACUAGCUGUUGAGAAAUGGAGAUCGUACCUUCUUGGAUCAUACCUUCUUGGAUAGAAAUUUCUCAUUGGAACUGAUUAUAGAAGUCUACGAUUUCUGACUGAACAAAGGGCCACCACUAAGUUAUAGAAAAAGACACUUCUCAAGCUUAUGGACUUGAACUUCAAAAUACAGUACAAGAAGGGGUCUUCCAAUGCAGCAACUGAUGCUCUCUAUAGGUGCCCAAAUCAUUCUAUCUUACAUGCUGUAUUUGUGAGUAACCCUUCUUGGAUGCAUAAUUUGCAGGAAGGCUAUUUGGAUUAUCCUGAAGACAAACAGUUGCUCACUGAGCUUGCUAUUAUGUCACCCAAUGAAAAAGUGUUUUCUCUUCAAAAUGGCUUAAUCAGAUGCAAGGGUAGAGUCUGGAUCGACAACAAUAAGUUGCACAGACUCACAUGCUGCAGUCCCUUCAUAGUAGUGGUAUUGGGGGUCACUCAGGGAUUUAUGCCACCUACCACAAAAUUAAAUAUAUGUUUGCUUGGCCCAAAUUGAAAGCUGCAGUUUCUUCCUUUGUGCAAGCUUGCCAAGUCUGUCAACAAGCUAAAGUUGAGUAUGUUAAGCUUCCAAGGCUUCUACAGCCUCUGCCAAUUCCAGAACAAGCUUGGGCCACAAGAUCGAGUGUUCACAAGCAAUGUUUGGCAGGAACUGUUCAAGCUUACUGAUACCCAACUGUUGAUGACCUCAUCAUACCGCCCACAGACUGACGGCCAAAUUGAACGCUUGAAUCAAUGCCUGGAAGCAUUCCUUCGCUGUACAAUGCAUUCCUGUCCACGACAAUGGAGUAAGUGGCUUGCUCUUGCGGAAUAUUGGUAUAACACAUCCUACCAAACUACCAUGGGUCAUACUCAUUUUGAAGUCCUUUAUGGUCAGACACCACACCAUUUUGGCAUUACCAAUCUGCAAGAAUGUACAGUUCUAGACUUGGAGAGUUGGCUUAAAGAAAGGAACCUGUUAACACAAUUAAUUCAACAACAACUUCUGAGAGCACAACAGAGGAUGAAGGCUCUGGCUGACUCUCAGAGAUCUGAAAGGGAAUUUCAAGAAGGUGACAUGGUUUAUCUAAAGCUCCAACCGCACCUACAAUCAUCAGUAGCUCCUUGAGGUAACAACAAGCUGUCCUUCAGGUUUUGUUCCUUAAAAAGUGCUCAAGUGAGUUGGUGCUGUUGCUUACAAACUUGAAUUGCCACCACAAGCUCAAAUCCAUCCAGUGAUUCAUGUAGCACAAUUGAAGAAGCAUGUACCAACUAUGACAGAGGUGAGCCUCUGUUUGCACUGACCCUGAACAACCUUUGCUGCCGAUGGCCAUUUUAGACCGCAAGUUCGUGCCCAAAGCUGGAGCAACAACAGCACGCAUUCGCGUGUAGUGGGGUGACCUCCCCGUGCACAUGUCCACUUGGGAAGACGAAGCUGAUUUGAAGAUAUGCUUCCCAACAGUAGUAGCUUGGGGGCAAACUGCUUUGCAAGGGGGCGGCAAUGUCAUGACCCGGUGGUAGCUCAAGAAGAAGGCACACUGUGCUCUGAAGAACGCUGAUGAGGAGUAAAGAGAGGGGCAGUGAGAAGUCUUCAUCCGGCCCAAGUGGCCUGUAUGUGUGCGUGUGGCCGAGCGUUGCCUGUAUAAAGGUAGAAGCCUAACUCUGAAACAUCAUCCAUGAACAAAUGCUUUGAACUGAAUAUCUGAACCCUCUUCUUUCUCA